Long non-coding RNA from Bombina bombina (fire-bellied toad), 294 nucleotides. RefSeq lists it as uncharacterized. NCBI's taxonomy places the organism in Eukaryota, Metazoa, Chordata, Amphibia, Anura, Bombinatoridae. The record is from RefSeq and is a predicted model, not a curated record. The transcript is spliced from 3 exons.
UGGUAAUCUAUUUCAGAGCUGACUGUGUUGCUGAGCUGGGGAAAUUUAUGUGAGAGCUGGCAGAGAGUAGAGCGGUGAGCCAGUGACAGCAUCUCUCCCCUCAAGUGAUCGCAUUCUUGGUAACCGGGACGCAAUGUCUGGCUGUUUGUGUACCUCAUCACCAUGACAACGGGUGACGUGCGCGGAUGCCGGAUGAUGACGUCAUUGCUCCAAGCCCUGCCAGUUUUCAAACCUGGAUUCCAUAUACCCCCCAAGAUGACCUCUCUCCUUCAACAGACAGAAUUCAUCAAGAUG